This 74-nucleotide transfer RNA is filed under the name Salmonella enterica. RNAcentral describes it as "tRNA-Gly". It matches the Rfam family "tRNA". From Rfam's summary of the family: Transfer RNA (tRNA) molecules are approximately 80 nucleotides in length. Their secondary structure includes four short double-helical elements and three loops (D, anti-codon, and T loops). Further hydrogen bonds mediate the characteristic L-shaped molecular structure. tRNAs have two regions of fundamental functional importance: the anti-codon, which is responsible for specific mRNA codon recognition, and the 3' end, to which the tRNAs corresponding amino acid is attached (by aminoacyl-tRNA synthetases). tRNAs cope with the degeneracy of the genetic code in two manners: having more than one tRNA (with a specific anti-codon) for a particular amino acid; and 'wobble' base-pairing, i.e. permitting non-standard base-pairing at the 3rd anti-codon position. Lineage: Bacteria; Pseudomonadati; Pseudomonadota; Gammaproteobacteria; Enterobacterales; Enterobacteriaceae. The record is from RNAcentral.
GCGGGCGUAGUCCAAUGGUAGAACGAGAGCUUCCCAAGCUCUAUACGAGGGUUCGAUUCCCUUCGCCCGCUCCA